UGAGGAAUUUUGCGCAAUGGGAGCAAUCCUGACGCAGCAACGCCGCGUGGGUGAUGAAGGCCUUCGGGUCGUAAAGCCCUGUCAGGUGGGAAGAAUGUCCCGGAACUGAACAGGUUUCGGGAGUGACGGUACCACCAGAGGAAGCACCGGCUAACUCCGUGCCAGCAGCCGCGGUAAUACGGAGGGUGCAAGCGUUAUUCGGACUUACUGGGCGUAAAGCGCGUGUAGGCGGUCCUGCAAGUCUGAUGUGAAAGCCCCGGGCUUAACCCGGGAAGUGCAUUGGAAGCUGCAGGUCGUGAGUACUGGAGAGGAUGGGGGAAUUCCCGGUGUAGAGGUGAAAUUCGUAGAGAUCGGGAGGAAUAUCAGUGGCGAAGGCGCCCAUCUGGACGGUAACUGACGCUGAGACGCGAAAGCGUGGGGAGCAAACA
RNAcentral lists this ribosomal RNA (428 nucleotides) under uncultured prokaryote. Its description in RNAcentral is "bacterial SSU rRNA". It matches the Rfam family "Bacterial small subunit ribosomal RNA", at positions 355 to 774 of the family's 1533-position model. The record is from RNAcentral.